RNAcentral lists this ribosomal RNA (250 nucleotides) under uncultured bacterium. RNAcentral's name for it is "partial 16S ribosomal RNA". It matches the Rfam family "Bacterial small subunit ribosomal RNA", at positions 529 to 777 of the family's 1533-position model. The record is from RNAcentral.
AGGAUCCGAGCGUUAUCCGGAUUUAUUGGGUUUAAAGGGUGCGUAGGCGGAAAGAUAAGUCAGCCUGUGAAAGUUUGCGGCUCAACCGUAAAAUUGCAGUUGAUACUGUUUUUCUUGAGUGUACAUAAGGUAGGCGGAAUUCGUGGUGUAGCGGUGAAAUGCUUAGAUAUCACGAAGAACUCCGAUUGCGAAGGCAGCUUACCGGGGUACAACUGACGCUGAUGCACGAAAGUGUGGGUAUCAAACAGGA